AACGCUGGCGGCGUGCCUAAUACAUGCAAGUCAACGGCUUUCUAUGGAAGCUGCUCACUGAGAAGAUAGUGGCGAACGGGUGAGUAACACGUGGGUAACCUGCCAUAAGAGGGGGAGUAACAUCCGGAAACGGGUGCUAAUACCGCAUAGUUUUCUUGAUCGCAUGAUCGGGAAAGGAAAGACGGCCUUUGUGCUGUCGCUUAUGGAUGGACCGCGGCGUAUUAGUUAGUUGGUGAGGUAACGGCUCACCAAGACGAUGAUACGUAGCCGACCUGAGAGGGUGAUCGGCCACAUUGGGACUGAGACACGGCCCAAACUCCUACGGGAGGCAGCAGUAGGGAAUCUUCCGCAAUGGACGAAAGUCUGACGGAGCAACGCCGCGUGAGUGAAAGAAGGUUUUCGGAUCGUAAAACUCUGUUGUCAGAGAAGAACAAGUUGGAGAGUAACUGCUCCAGCCUUGACGGUAUCUGACCAGAAAGCCACGGCUAACUACGUGCCAGCCGCCGC
This 507-nucleotide ribosomal RNA is filed under the name uncultured bacterium. RNAcentral describes it as "bacterial SSU rRNA". It matches the Rfam family "Bacterial small subunit ribosomal RNA", at positions 32 to 518 of the family's 1533-position model. The record is from RNAcentral.